CACGUAGGGUGCGAGCGUUGUCCGGAAUUAUUGGGCGUAAAGAGCUCGUAGGCGGUCUGUCGCGUCGGAUGUGAAAAACCCCAGGGCUCAACCCUGGGCCUGCAUUCGAUACGGGCAGACUAGAGUUCGGUAGGGGAGACUGGAAUUCCUGGUGUAGCGGUGAAAUGCGCAGAUAUCAGGAGGAACACCGGUGGCGAAGGCGGAUCUCUGGGCCUGUCCUGACGCUCAGGCGCGAAAGCUAGGGGAGCAAACAGG
This 255-nucleotide ribosomal RNA is filed under the name uncultured bacterium. RNAcentral's name for it is "partial 16S ribosomal RNA". It matches the Rfam family "Bacterial small subunit ribosomal RNA", at positions 524 to 776 of the family's 1533-position model. The record is from RNAcentral.